AACGAACGCUGGCGGCAUGCCUAACACAUGCAAGUCGAACGAGACCUUCGGGUCUAGUGGCGCACGGGUGCGUAACGCGUGGGAACCUGCCCUUAGGUUCGGAAUAACUCCCCGAAAGGGGUGCUAAUACCGGAUAAUGUCUUCGGACCAAAGAUUUAUCGCCUUUGGAUGGGCCCGCGUUGGAUUAGCUAGUUGGUAGGGUAAAAGCCUACCAAGGCGACGAUCCAUAGCUGGUCUGAGAGGAUGAUCAGCCACACUGGGACUGAGACACGGCCCAGACUCCUACGGGAGGCAGCAGUGGGGAAUAUUGGACAAUGGGCGAAAGCCUGACCCAGCAAUGCCGCGUGAGUGAUGAAGGCCUUAGGGUUGUAAAGCUCUUUACCCGGGAUGAUAAUGACAGUACCGGGAGAAUAAGCUCCGGCUAACUCCGUG
Molecule: ribosomal RNA, 432 nt
Filed under: uncultured bacterium
Lineage: Bacteria
Description: partial 16S ribosomal RNA
Rfam family: Bacterial small subunit ribosomal RNA
Source: RNAcentral